AGUUUGAUUAUGGCUCAGAACGAACGCUGGUGGCGUGUCUUAUACAUGCAAGUCGAGCGAGGCAGCAAUGCCGAGCGGCGAACGGGUGAGUAACGCGUAAGCAAUCUGCCCCAUAUCAGGAAAUACCCGUGCCAACGCGCGGUUAAUGUCCAGGAGAGUGGCUCCUCUGCAUGGAGGGUUGACUAGAGAUUUAUCGGUAUGGGAUGAGCUUGCGUCCGAUUAGCUAGUUGGCGGGCAACGGCCCACCAAGGCGACGAUCGGUAGCCGGCCUGAGAGGGUGAUCGGCCACAUUGGGACUGAGAUACGGCCCAGACUCCUACGGGAGGCAGCAGUAGGGAAUAUUGCACAAUGGGGGAAACCCUGAUGCAGCAACGCCACGUGUGGGAAGAAAGCAUUUCGGUGUGUAAACCACUGUCAUGAGGGAAUAAGGCCUGUCUUCGGGCAGGAUUGAAUGUACCUUGAGAGGAAGCACCGGCAAACUUCGUGCCAGCAGCCGC
This 497-nucleotide ribosomal RNA is filed under the name uncultured bacterium. RNAcentral describes it as "bacterial SSU rRNA". It matches the Rfam family "Bacterial small subunit ribosomal RNA", at positions 10 to 518 of the family's 1533-position model. The record is from RNAcentral.